GGUUGUGGCUCAUUGGUAGAGCACUUGCCUCACAUGUGUGAGGUACUAGGUUCAAUCCUCAGCAUCA
Molecule: transfer RNA, 67 nt
Filed under: Marmota monax (woodchuck)
Lineage: Eukaryota; Metazoa; Chordata; Mammalia; Rodentia; Sciuridae
Description: tRNA.Val
Source: RNAcentral